UGGUCNCUAGNCCUUGNAAUCAGUUUUUACUCUACUUAUACAUGCAAGUCUCAGCACCCCUGUGAAAACGCCCUUAAANCUCCUGUUAGGAACAAGGAGCUGGUAUCAGGCACAAUAAUUAGCCCAAGACACCUAGCUAUGCCACACCCACAAGGGAACUCAGCAGUAAUUAACAUUGAACAUAAGCGCCAGCUUGAUUCAGUUAAAGUAAAAAGGGCAGGCAAAUAUGGUGCCAGCCGCCGCGGUUACACCACGUGGCCCAAAUUGAUUUCUUUNCGGCGUAAAGAGUGAUUAAAGCNAAUUUUUNUACUGUAGAAAAACCACNUAUAAAGUCGUAACAAGCUUAUAGCUGGGAGACUCAANAAACGAAAGUUACUACANNNCCCAAAACAACUUGAACUCACAACAGCUAAGAAACAAACUAGGAUUAGAGACCCUACUAUGCUUAGCCACAAACUUUUAAUUACANNNNNNNNCCUGAAACGCCAGGGAACUACGAGCNAAAGCUUAAAACCCAAAGGACUUGACGGUGCCCCAUAUCCCCCUAGAGGAGCCUGUCCUAUAAUCGAUAACCCCCGCUAAACCUCACCAUUUUUAGUUAAAUCAGCCUGUAUACCUCCGUCGUCAGCUUACCACAUGAGUGAACUAUNAGUAAGUAAAAUGUCAUNNNNNNUCGUCAACACGUCAGGUCAAGGUGCAGCUCAUAAAAUGGGAAGAGAUGGGCUACACUUUCUAACAUAGAAAACACGGAAGACANNACAUGAAANAUUAAUCUGAAGGCGGAUUUAGUAGUAAAAAAAGAUCAUAGAGCUUUUUUUANACAAGGCCCUGGGNGUGUGUACACACCGCCCGUCACCCUCUUUGNCAGCCANNUANAAAAAGUUUUUAACAAAAACANNGCACAGUAGAAGAGGUANAGUCGUAACAUGGUAAGUAUACCGGAAGGUGUGCUU
This 953-nucleotide non-coding RNA is filed under the name Boana rosenbergi (Rosenberg's treefrog). RNAcentral describes it as "partial small subunit ribosomal RNA". It matches the Rfam family "Bacterial small subunit ribosomal RNA". Lineage: Eukaryota; Metazoa; Chordata; Amphibia; Anura; Hylidae. The record is from RNAcentral.